Molecule: long non-coding RNA, 1419 nt
Filed under: Physcomitrium patens
Lineage: Eukaryota; Viridiplantae; Streptophyta; Bryopsida; Funariales; Funariaceae
Description: long non-coding RNA (PPAT_LNC011047)
Source: RNAcentral
AUGUUGUAAAUCAUGUUGUAUACAUAUUUUAUAUUUUAUAUUGUAUACAAAUAAGUUUAUCAGAGCUAUUUACCAUAAUGUUCAUUGCUUAAACAGAAUAUGUUAGUUCACUUAUAAAUCAAUUAUUAAUAUGUUUAUCAAAAUACAACAUCCACCCAGAAGUCAUACAUUUUUUACAACUUGAGAAUGCUAAAAAUAAAACACCUCUCAUACUAAGUAAGACAAGGCAGGUCUUAUAUGUAUCAUAACCUAAGCCUAGGUCUUCUUUUCAAUGGGGGGUGGCUAUUAAGUAUGAUAUUUAUUUAUGUGCCUUCAUUUAGACCACAUAGAAGUUGUAAACAUGGGUCUUUGGUAUAAGCUGAGUAAAUAUCCCAACCGGCACCCAUGCAAAGCUUCAUCGCUCAUUAAUAAACACCAAGAGUUAAUAAAAAGCUGUAAAGUAGGCUUUGGUUGUAAGCUUUGGUGCUACAUGCUAUUGAAUAUGGGACGUCAUUCUUGAGACUACCCAUCGCCAGAGAGAAAGCAGUUGCAUGUCCGUACUUUAACUACACUAUGGUAUUGAUUUUGGAAACACCACAAAAGAAAUUUUCUGGAUUAUACAAGUAAAUGUGUUACAUGCAUUGAUCAUUUUUGUUUAGUUUUUUAAAGAGAAGUAUAGAGGCACUGUUUGAAGAUAAGAUUAUUUAGUAAUUGCAUUUGUAUUAUUGAGAGGCAAGAUUGCACAACAUGGGUUGUUUGAUAUUAGUACAAUGUACAAUGUACAAUGUAAUAUGACAUUCAACUUUUGUGUUAAAGCUGUAUUAAACACACAAAUUUAUGUUGAAUACAUUGAUUAACAUUUAAGUGCAUCGGAUUUGGAACAUUGUUCAGAAAGAGGUUGUGAUAUUUACACAAGAAGCUGUACACUUUAUUGUGCAAGAUGUUAGACUAGAACAAAGUCCGGCAACAAACAUGAACCUUUUUCUCACAAAUUUUUUUAAAAAACAAUACAAAUAGUAAAUAACAAAUAAUUGUGAAGUUAGAGAAGGAUUUUAUUUUUUGCUUAAACAAAGAUUGUGAACCCACCACCAAAUAUUUUUUCAUGCUGCACAACACAACAAGAUAACAAUCUAUUUGUAAGCACUGGAUUAAGUCUGCUAAUCAACAAAGAAUAAUACCCAUACCUUUGAAAACAUAAAGAACAGGAAGCAUCAUCAAUAGCGGUAUUAAUUUGAUGACUAGUGCCAUAAUUUCAUAACCCACAUUACAGAUGAUGAUGAGUUGAUUUUGCUGUUCUGCAAAGAUGAGAGCAGAAAGUCUGACACCCUCCUUUAUUGAUAUUAUUAACCAAUUAUGAAUAUAUAACUGUAUUUUUGUUUUUUAAACUCCCUAACCAUUUUUACUAAAAUGACUCAAUGAAAACAGAAUUUCAUCUGACAC